RNAcentral lists this ribosomal RNA (425 nucleotides) under uncultured bacterium. Its description in RNAcentral is "bacterial SSU rRNA". It matches the Rfam family "Bacterial small subunit ribosomal RNA", at positions 356 to 773 of the family's 1533-position model. The record is from RNAcentral.
GGGGAAUAUUGCACAAUGGGGGAAACCCUGAUGCAGCCAUGCCGCGUGUGUGAAGAAGGCCUUCGGGUUGUAAAGCACUUUCAGUGGGGAGGAAGGGGUGAUGUCUAAUACGCAUCAUCAUUGACGUUACCCACAGAAGAAGCACCGGCUAACUCCGUGCCAGCAGCCGCGGUAAUACGGAGGGUGCAAGCGUUAAUCGGAAUAACUGGGCGUAAAGCGCACGCAGGCGGUUAGAUAAGUCAGAUGUGAAAUCCCCGGGCUCAACCUGGGAACUGCAUUUGAAACUGUCUGACUAGAGUCUUGUAGAGGGGGGUAGAAUUCCAGGUGUAGCGGUGAAAUGCGUAGAGAUCUGGAGGAAUACCGGUGGCGAAGGCGGCCCCCUGGACAAAGACUGACGCUCAGGUGCGAAAGCGUGGGGAGCAAAC